GUAAUGGAAAUUGUAAACAAAGUAGGCAAACUACGAAACUUCAAGGCCUUGUUCGUCUAGCCAUAGGGUUUUACAUUCAGUACAACACCCGAGCUCGUCCAGUGAACAACUCCGUAUUUUCGAUUUCUUCAUAAGUUUUCGGUUAUCUCGCGGAGUUUUUUCUUGUCGUGAAAUUUCGAGCGUCAGAUCAGAUAUUUACCGUCGUAGGCCAGCAGGUCCUUUCUAUCACUGUUAAAAGCUUUGGCUACGUGGCAUUUCUUCGAGAGGAUCACAUCGAAAAACACAAUUGCUUUUUAGUGCAUUCGAAACUCGACACGUUUUGUUAACUCAAAUUUAAGGUUGGCCACAUUAAAAUUUUGAUUCACAUUUAUUAGGACUAUAUGCCUAAGUCCAGUCUUGAAUCUUUACAAUUUUUUCUUAUAAGUGUAAGGGAAAAUUUGAAACUUUAGAUUUGAGACUAGACUUAGACAUGUAGUCUUUAUGAUUGUGAAACAACAUUUAAAUGGGGCCAGUUUUAGAUUUGAGAUAACGAAACUUGCCUACAUUUCGGUAUGGCGACAAACAAUUGUAUUUUUCAGUGGAAUCCUUUCAAGGGAAUUCCACGUAGCCAAUGCUUAUAGCAAGGAUAGAGAGGACCUGCUGGCCUAUGUCGAUAAUGAUCUGAUCGGUCGUUGGAAAUUUUGCGAUGAGGAGGUCCGAGAGGCGCUUAAAAACUUAUCGAUAAUGAGGACUUCGAAGAGGAAGGGGUUCAGGAUGUUGAGCUCCAGUUCUGCGGCUUGGCGGGAACCUGU
Drosophila suzukii is the source of this 791-nucleotide non-coding RNA. NCBI's taxonomy places the organism in Eukaryota, Metazoa, Arthropoda, Insecta, Diptera, Drosophilidae. The record is from RefSeq and is a predicted model, not a curated record.